Long non-coding RNA from Scleropages formosus (Asian bonytongue), 1119 nucleotides. RefSeq lists it as uncharacterized. The transcript is spliced from 3 exons. The record is from RefSeq and is a predicted model, not a curated record. Lineage: Eukaryota; Metazoa; Chordata; Actinopteri; Osteoglossiformes; Osteoglossidae.
AAAGUACCUCAACCAACGUACUAGACUAGAGCAGAGGUGGAAUUCGAACCUCCGCUGUUGGGCUCCAAAAGCGUCCUUGCAAGUGACCGGUUUAGGAGGAGGCGCCCCAGGAAGCUGCAGAACCCCACACUUGUGAGACCUCAUCUCACCGCAGCUCCAGAGAGGUGGCUCCCGCCAAGGAGCUGGACGAAGGCGAGACCCUCUGCGGCCGAGUGAAGGAUGAGCUGCUGGACUUGGAAAUGGUCGAAACCAAGCGGGAGGUGUGGCGAGGGCCCUGCUCUCCAGAGUCGUCCACACAUCGCCGCCUCAACAGUGCCGACUGACAGCUCACCGUCGGCUGGCGGGAGUCCGAGCUGCAGCGUCGAUCCCUCGGAUGAGGCAAGAGGGUUUCUAUGCAGUUGAGCAGCAGGGGAGGAUGCAGAGGUGCCGAGCUAGGAUGCCCUGAGAAAUGCCAGUCCUGCAGAGAAAUGAACCGCGCAGGUACUCGUGCUGAAGAUCACACUGGGUCAGGGCAUCUGAGCAGUGGGCGCUUUCUUUGUUGCACCUUCACUGGAGAUUCUUCUGAAUCGUUGAGAUUUGAGGAGGACAGCAGUCCCUACGUUCCGACAUGCCACCGAGCCUCUGCACGUCGUCAUGGCACAGGUCAGAUAGACCCAUUUUAGAGCGCCUUCGAAUCUCUGGAAAUGGCUGUGAAACAAAUUAAACGAUUCCUUCACCUUCAGUAUUUAUCUGGACAAAGCAGUUAAGCUCCUGUGUCCAGUCUGUCAAAUGAAAUCAGUUCCCAAGUAAGUGUGGAAUUAUUCAUACACAUUAAUGAUGUGGAAAGUAAUUAUACAAAGUAUACAGGCUUUACAAACAAGUUUGCUCACUCUUUAUUCCAUGGCCAUGAAUCGUUAUCAUUAUUUUGUGCUUUUUGUACACGUUCUUUGUGUGUUCUGCAGCAAGGUGGGGGAUCAUGAGGGGGCAAAUUCAUGGAAGUAAACUAGAGGGUGUGAAAUGGGGGUUUAAGAUGUGUAUGUGUGUGUGUGUGUGUUGAAGCUAGACCCAGCCUUCAGCAGCAAGCAGCUAAAAAAGAUUGAUGUGACUUGAGAGUGUCAUGUGUUCUCCAGCCCUGGGAGC